CAUUUGAGGCCUGAUUUUUUCAGAUGCCUGAACAUCCACGGUGCCCACUGUGGGGGAUCUUGGGAAACUGCGUAGACAAAGAUAUUUGCAUGAGAAGCGGUAGAGUAGGCGCAGCGGAAGAUCACGCGGUGUGACGCGCAGACGAGGGGUGGGAACGAAAUGCACCUGUAUGUAGGCUUGAGUGUAGCUCACAAUAAACGCCAUUUUAGCAUCUCUCACAUUGAGGUCUGUGCUUUGUGGCCCUGCAGCGGGAAGCUUCAGUGCUCCCCUGGUGGCGCCAUGGGACCGAGCUAGAGCGCGGCAAGAAGUGGUGACCCGACGUGACUCGGCAGGACCGACACGUCUCGCCGUGAGACCCGGGGGGUGCGGGCCGUCUCCAGAGGGAGAGCGGCGGCUGCAACGGCGAGCAGCGGGCGAUAGCCGAGAGUCCGGCCGGACGACAUGGAGGCCUUCAUAAAGGUAGUUGCGUUACUAGCUAAGGAAUGGGGAGCUUCUGUGAAGCCGAAGGAUAUUACACUAUGUGUAGAGCGGCUCCAGAAAGAAGGAGCCAUAGAUAGGCCGGGGGACUGCUUGCAGCCRGAAUUCUGGYCGCAAUGCACUACGGUGCUGGCGGAGCGAGCUAUGUCCACAAACWCGGCCAAAGAUCUCAAGACGUGGGGARUUAUACUCCGUUUUCUGAAGUGGUCGCGGGAAGAAAUGGAGACUUGGAAGGCCGCCCGCGACGCGUUGUUUCAUCAGGAGGAGGCUGAGACGGAAACGGAGGAGAAGUCUAGCGAUGGGGGGGCGAAAGAGCCGGGGGAGAGCGGGGGCGGGGAGGCCCCGGCGAAAGAACGGGAGAGCGGGGGCGGGGAGGUCCCAGUGAUCCUACCGGUGGAAUCCCAGGAACCGCCCCCGGGGUACCCCUGGCAAGAUCUCGCACAAGACGGAGAGGGCUGGGGGGUCGACGGGACCGACCCCGAGGAUUGCGUGCCUGGCGCAGUUCUGAGGAAGGCGCUUAGUGAGGAAGAUAGGACCCUGCUGCCGUGGGCCCCGGCAGAGGAGGGGGCUGUAGGCGGGGAGAGUCAGGCGGUGCAGCGAGGGAGGAAGGGUAACGGCCAAUCGGAGCGGAGAGACCAGAGUUCGACCUUGAGAGGAGGGAGGAAGGUUCGGGUGAGAUCGCAGGUUAAGGAGGAGAGCGGAGAAGACAGUGACGAGGAAGGCGGGGGCUUGCGGGAGGUUACCUGCAGGCUGCAGGGAUGUGUAUUAGGAGAAACGCCUCCGAAAGGGAGGCCGAAGGGCGGAGAGGAAGCAACAACAUCCCCGGUCGACACCCUAUUGCGUGCAUUAGAGGAAAUAAGGCGGGAGGUCGAGAAACAGAGGGACCUGCUCAGCGGAGCUAAGAGGGAAGCGGCCCCUGCCAAGUCCAUACCGCUCACUGACUGGCGGCUAAUAGCCGAUUCGUGUGCCCUUCAGGGCCUACGGUUCGAGCAAGCGCCGCAAGUCUGCCCCGUAAGGGCAGUGCCGGGGGAAGGGGUCCAGUGCGUGGCGCUCGAGCCCAAGAUAGUACAGGGACUGAUGACCUCGGUGAAGGAGAAUGGGCUGAAACACCAGCAAACUCAGAUGCUGUUGGAUAGUGUGCAUGCCCAGGCGUGCACGCCUUACGACCUACGGCAGCUGGCGAGGGCGAUACUGUCGCCCAUGCAUUGGAUGCUGUGGAAGGAGGCAUGGCAGGGCCGUUGUGCCGCCCUCGCUGCAGCUGCCGCCGGGGACCCGAACCACCCCCUAGCAGGUACCACGCUGGAUCGCUUGGUGGGGCGGGGUGCAAACCUCGCAUCCCCAAACCAGCAAGCGGCAACUCUCAGAGCCUGGGAGGUCAUGGCCACAACAGAGGCUUCGCGGGCCGCGUAUGAGGAUCUCGGGAAGCUAGUAAAGGUAGAGCCACCCUGGACAAAGAUAAAACAGACACACGCAGAGAGCUUCACUGAAUUCUGUGACAGGCUCCAACGGGCCAUUGCAGAGUCAGACUUGCCCCCUGAGGCCCAGGGUCCGGUCAUGAUGGAGUGCCUCUGGCAGCAGAGUAACGCCGUGACGCAGGACAUCAUGAAAACGAUCCCUAAAGGAACACCACUUUCGGUUGUCAUCCGCACGGUACUGGAAAAACAGAACCAGGGAACAGCGGCAGCGCAGGCCCUUGUCGCGGCGGCGGACCAGAUGAGAAAGGGACCACAGCGAUGCUUCUCUUGUGGCAGAUUAGGGCAUAUCAGCGCACACUGUCAGCGGCAGGGCCGGCCG
Long non-coding RNA from Apteryx owenii (little spotted kiwi), 2271 nucleotides. Lineage: Eukaryota; Metazoa; Chordata; Aves; Apterygiformes; Apterygidae. The record is from Ensembl.